This is a long non-coding RNA of Macadamia integrifolia, 488 nucleotides long. RefSeq lists it as uncharacterized. The transcript has 3 exons. NCBI's taxonomy places the organism in Eukaryota, Viridiplantae, Streptophyta, Magnoliopsida, Proteales, Proteaceae. The record is from RefSeq and is a predicted model, not a curated record.
CAGCCCAGAAGAAAGCUCCAGAUCGAAUCCACAUUUCCAGCCAAAAACCCAAAAGGGUCAAAUCUCCCAAAGCCUAUAAAUGAUAUCACAGAGAGAAGAUAAUUAAGUGCAUACAGUAUACUAAGAACUUCAAGAGCUUAAGAACUCAAUCCUGCUGUUUCUGUUUCAGAAUGCCACCUAAGUCACAGACACAGGAGAAAGAAAAGAAGAAUCAACAGCCUCCACCAGGUUAUCCAAAUGAAAAUAACACUGACCCCGGUAAGAAAUGCUGCCCUCGUUUCAGGAAGAAAGGGGAUAGAGGCUUCAUUGAGGGAUGCAUCUUUGCUUUGUGUUGCUGUUGGCUUUGUGAAGAAUGCUCCUAAUUAAUGGGACUGAUGGAAGGUUACAAUAGGAUAUUAGAAUUGUAAUCACAUUGUAUUGGUACAGUUGUGUUUUGAUGUCCCCUAUCAUGUAUUAUCUUUAAUAAUAUUUGUUUUCCGAAUUGCAAA